AGAGUUUGAUCCUGGCUCAGAACGAACGCUGGCGGCAUGCUCAUACAUGCAAGUCGAACGAGAAAUAAGCUUUCGGGUUUAUGGACAGUGGCGAACGGGUGCGUAACGCGUGGGAACUUACCAUAUAGUGUGGGACAACAGUUGGAAACGACUGCUAAUACCGCAUACGCCCUACGGGGGAAAGCUUCAAGUGCUAUAUGAUAGGCCCGCGUUAGAUUAGUUAGUUGGUGAGGUAAAGGCUCACCAAGGCGACGAUCUAUAGCUGGUUUGAGAGGAUGAUCAGCCACACUGGGACUGAGACACGGCCCAGACUCCUGCGGGAGGCAGCAGUAGGGAAUAUUGGACAAUGGGGGCAACCCUGAUCCAGCAAUGCCGCGUGUGUGAAGAAGGCCUUAGGGUUGUAAAUCACUUUCAACUGUGAAGAUAAUGACUGUAACAGUAGAAGAAGCUCCGGCUAACUCCGUGCCAGCAGCCGCGGUAAUACGGAGGGAGCUAGCGUUGUUCGGAAUUACUGGGCGUAAAGAGCACGUAGGCGGCUAGAUGCGUCAGGGGUGAAAUCCCGGGGCUUAACCUCGGAACUGCCUUUGAUACGGUUUAGCUAGAAUAUCGGAGAGGUUAGUGGAAUUCCAAGUGUAGAGGUGAAAUUCGUAGAUAUUUGGAAGAACAUCAGUGGCGAAGGCGACUAACUGGACGAUUAUUGACGCUGAGGUGCGAAAGCGUGGGGAGCGAACGGGAUUAGAUACCCCGGUAGUCCACGCCGUAAACGAUGAGUGCUAGCUGUUGGGAUCUUAGGGUUUCAGUGGCGCAGCUAACGCAUUAAGCACUCCGCCUGGGGAGUACGGUCGCAAGAUUAAAACUCAAAGGAAUUGACGG
RNAcentral lists this ribosomal RNA (873 nucleotides) under uncultured bacterium. RNAcentral describes it as "bacterial SSU rRNA". It matches the Rfam family "Bacterial small subunit ribosomal RNA", at positions 8 to 916 of the family's 1533-position model. The record is from RNAcentral.